This 253-nucleotide ribosomal RNA is filed under the name uncultured bacterium. Its description in RNAcentral is "partial 16S ribosomal RNA". It matches the Rfam family "Bacterial small subunit ribosomal RNA", at positions 524 to 776 of the family's 1533-position model. The record is from RNAcentral.
UACAGAGGGUGCGAGCGUUAAUCGGAAUUACUGGGCGUAAAGGGCGCGUAGGCGGUGUGUCAAGUCAGGCGUGAAAGCCCCGGGCUCAACCUGGGAACCGCGCUUGAGACUGGCAGACUCGAGUUCGGGAGAGGAUGGUGGAAUUCCCAGUGUAGAGGUGAAAUUCGUAGAUAUUGGGAAGAACACCGAUGGCGAAGGCAGCCAUCUGGACCGACACUGACGCUGAGGCGCGAAAGCGUGGGGAGCAAACAGG